GACGAACGCUGGCGGCGUGCUUAACACAUGCCAGUCGAACGGUGAAGCGCCUUCCUUUUUGGUGGGUGUGGAUGAGUGGCGAACGGGUGAGUAACACGUGAGUAACCUGCCCCCUUCUUCUGGAUAACCGCAUGAAAGUGUGGCUAAUACGGGAUAUUCUGGGUCUGUCGCAUGAUGGGUCUGGGAAAGAUAUUGUUUCGGUGGGGGAUGGGCUCGCGGCCUAUCAGCUUGUUGGUGGGGUGAUGGCCUACCAAGGCGGUGACGGGUAGCCGGCCUGAGAGGGUGGACGGUCACACUGGGACUGAGACACGGCCCAGAAUCCUACGGGAGGCAGCAGUGGGGAAUAUUGCACAAUGGGCGCAAGCCUGAUGCAGCGACGCCGCGUGAGGGAUGGAGGCCUUCGGGUUGUGAACCUCUUUCGCCAGUGAAGCAGGCCUGCCUCGUUUGUGGGUGGGUUGACGGUAGCUGGAUAAGAAGCGCCAGCUAACUACGUG
This 494-nucleotide ribosomal RNA is filed under the name uncultured bacterium. RNAcentral's name for it is "partial 16S ribosomal RNA". It matches the Rfam family "Bacterial small subunit ribosomal RNA", at positions 28 to 507 of the family's 1533-position model. The record is from RNAcentral.